Molecule: ribosomal RNA, 426 nt
Filed under: Triticum aestivum (bread wheat)
Lineage: Eukaryota; Viridiplantae; Streptophyta; Magnoliopsida; Poales; Poaceae
Description: partial small subunit ribosomal RNA
Source: RNAcentral
UUUCAAGGACUUGAGGCAGUGGAGAAGUUCUACAAGGCAUAUGCACAUAAUGCGGGUUUUGGAGUUCGUAUCGGACAGCAGAAGAAGAUUGAGAAUAAGGUGGUCCGAACUAAGCGUUUUAUGUGUAACAGGGAAGGAUUCAAGUCCAAAGAUAAUAAGGAGAUCGAUAACCCCUCGAAGAAAAAGCGUAAGGAGGCAAACACACGAUGUGGUUGUGAUGCACACAUCUUUGUCAGACUUUGUGGGGAGAACACCUACAAGAUAGAUUCAUGGGUUGAGCACCAUGUUCAGGGUCUUGUAUCGCCUGAUAAGCGUCAUUUGAUCAGAUCGAAUCGUAGAGUUAGUGAGAGGGCAAAGAAUACAAUAUUUACAUGUCACAAGGCAAGCAUUGGCACCUCUCAGGGCGUACAGGUUACUCCAAGUUAG